Molecule: non-coding RNA, 136 nt
Organism: Brachypodium distachyon (stiff brome)
Lineage: Eukaryota; Viridiplantae; Streptophyta; Magnoliopsida; Poales; Poaceae
Source: Rfam
UAUAUACUUCCUCCGUCCAACAAAUGGUGUCUCAAUUUUAAUUAAAUUCGGAUGCAUCUAUACACUAAGUCAUGUCUAGAUACAUUCAAAUUUUGAGAAAUUUGAGACAUCAUUUAUUGCACGGAGGGAGUAGAUA